Molecule: ribosomal RNA, 675 nt
Filed under: Triticum aestivum (bread wheat)
Lineage: Eukaryota; Viridiplantae; Streptophyta; Magnoliopsida; Poales; Poaceae
Description: partial small subunit ribosomal RNA
Source: RNAcentral
AUGUCACCCCACUUCUACGUGUUUGAGUUCUUAAGAGACUAUGGGCACUUAGCCCCCUUGGUCAUUGGUGAGGUGUAUUCAUCUGAAACAGGAGGAUGGGUUCGUAAGGAGAAUGAAGUGGACAAUGAUUUUAGAUUUCCCCAUAGGUUGCCAGCUGUCUUUUUCAACGGUUGUAUGCAUUAUCUCACCAACAAGGCUUCUAUAGCCGUGGUGGACACCGGGGGGAAAGCUUGCCAAUACAUACCUGUCCCUGUCCCUGGUGAGCAGGAGUUCGGUUUCAUUCAGCUGUCCCAAGGACGUUUGCAUUAUGCCAAUUUUGAGGCAGACCAUGAAGACGAGGUGGUUCGACUAGUGGUUUAUGUUCUUGAGGACUACGACAGGCAACGAUGGACAUUGAAGCAUACCGCUGAAGCUCCAUAUAUACUUGGAUGGCCAAGUGGUUUAUAUGAACCUGGAUGGAAUAAUUCUAUUAAUCUUGCAGAGGAGUUUGAGUGGGUUGCAGUUCAUCCAGACUGUAACAUGAUCUUCUACACUCUCGAGUCGGAUAAAAUAUUGAUGUCCUACGAUAUGGAUCGUCGGCAAGUCCAAGAGAUAUUCACUCUUGGAGCCGACACUCGGGAGACAUAUCUUCCGUAUGUGCCAUUGUUCUCGGAGUUACAAGCUUUGCACAUAUGA